This 433-nucleotide ribosomal RNA is filed under the name uncultured bacterium. Its description in RNAcentral is "partial 16S ribosomal RNA". It matches the Rfam family "Bacterial small subunit ribosomal RNA", at positions 29 to 507 of the family's 1533-position model. The record is from RNAcentral.
AGCGAACGCUGGCGGCAGGCUUAACACAUGCAAGUCGAGCGGGCCCUUCGGGGUCAGCGGCAGACGGGUGAGUAACACGUGGGAACGUACCCUUUGGUUCGGAAUAACGCUGGGAAACUAGCGCUAAUACCGGAUACGCCCUUUUGGGGAAAGGCUUGCUGCCGAAGGAUCGGCCCGCGUCUGAUUAGCUAGUUGGUGGGGUAAUGGCCUACCAAGGCGACGAUCAGUAGCUGGUCUGAGAGGAUGAUCAGCCACACUGGGACUGAGACACGGCCCAGACUCCUACGGGAGGCAGCAGUGGGGAAUAUUGGACAAUGGGCGCAAGCAUGAUCCAGCCAUGCCGCGUGAGUGAUGAAGGCCUUAGGGUUGUAAAGCUCUUUUGUCCGGGACGAUAGUGACGGUACCGGAAGAAUAAGCCCCGGCUAACUUCGUG